This 301-nucleotide ribosomal RNA is filed under the name uncultured bacterium. RNAcentral describes it as "partial 16S ribosomal RNA". It matches the Rfam family "Bacterial small subunit ribosomal RNA", at positions 509 to 807 of the family's 1533-position model. The record is from RNAcentral.
CAGUCGCCACGGUAAUACGUAGGGUGCGAGCGUUAAUCGGAAUUACUGGGCGUAAAGCGUGCGCAGGCGGUUGUGUAAGACAGGUGUGAAAUCCCCGGGCUUAACCUGGGAACUGCGCUUGUGACUGCACAGCUAGAGUAUGGCAGAGGGGGAUGGAAUUCCGCGUGUAGCAGUGAGAUGCGUAGAUAUGCGGAGGAACACCGAUGGCGAAGGCAAUCCCCUGGGCCUGCACUGACGCUCAUGCACGAAAGCGUGGGGAGUAAACAGGAUUAGAUACCCCUGUAGUCCCUGUCUCUUAUAC